RNAcentral lists this ribosomal RNA (254 nucleotides) under uncultured bacterium. Its description in RNAcentral is "partial 16S ribosomal RNA". It matches the Rfam family "Bacterial small subunit ribosomal RNA", at positions 524 to 777 of the family's 1533-position model. The record is from RNAcentral.
UACGAAGGGGGCUAGCGUUGUUCGGAAUUACUGGGCGUAAAGCGCGCGCAGGCGGUUUCUCAAGUCAGUGGUGAAAGCCCGGAGCUCAACUCCGGAACUGCCAUUGAAACUGUGAAACUUGAGGACGAGAGAGGUGAGUGGAAUUCCCAGUGUAGAGGUGAAAUUCGUAGAUAUUGGGAGGAACACCAGUGGCGAAGGCGGCUCACUGGACCGGUACUGACGCUGAUGCGCGAAAGCGUGGGGAGCAAACGGGG